UGCACAAAAGUCUUGCAACUUCUAUAUCCAUGAAAAUCAGCACGGGCAAAAUUUGGCGGUCUUUCUGGGUACUGCAUGUUUGGGCAGGUAAAGGCAGUUGAAAAAUGCAUGACCCCAGAAUACCGUAAUUGUCGCAAAUACAUGCCAGUUGCCAAGCACCCAAAUUUUGAUCAAAGCACCAUGGGAAAUGCGGUGAUGGUCAUAAGUAUGAGAACCAUUUGUAAGUCACUCUUUUUCAGUGCCACUGUAUCAUUGUAAUGUUGAAUGGUUGCUAAACAAAUCAUUGUAAGUCGAGGACUCCCUAUAUAGUAGAAUGCAUCUCCCCUCCUCCUGCACACUUUUCUGUUAUAUGCAGGCAUGUAAUUCAACACAUGCAAAUUCACUGGGAGAACCAGUAGUAUAAUUCUACACCAGAUUCUCCCCUUAGAACAAACAGGAAUUUGGCUUAACUCACAUUCCAGCUGUGAAUUGUUAUUGCUUUGGCUGGGGUAUAAAAGAAAUGAAGACAACCGGAUUGGGACCAAAAUGUUGUUGUGUUUACGUUCCUUCUCUCAUUUCCCAAUUGCCACACACAAAUGAAAAAGGGGGCCCCUAAGCAGUGGUGAAAUCUGAACCGAUUUACUACCGGUUCACUGACUGCGCAUGCAGAAUGCGCACCACACACCAAAUGCAAGGUGUGCACGCGCACGCAGUGCACACCAAAAGGAGGCAUGGGAUGGGCUAACUAAGCCCUGAAUCUGUAGGAGGAGGCUGCACACUCAGAAUGCAGUCUCUUUUCUUUCACUCUCGUGACUCCAUGCAUGGAAAAAAAGGGCCCAUUGAUCUCACAAUUGCAGUUCCUUGACUUUUCUGCCAACAGACAAACCUUUCUCAGAGAGGCUGCCCACGUGGGAAAGUAUUCGCUUUGCACAGGAGGAGACCCAAGGGCCAAUAUCCAGAUGCUGCCAGCUGGAAAAGGACUCUGCCAACAUUACAACAUCUAUCGGAUAACAGUCAGAAGAUCAAGUUGCUUGGAACUUCUCGCUCUUUCUGUCAGCAGAUUUAUGCCUUGACUGCAGCUUCAGAGAGACUCGGGCACUUUAUCUUUACAAAAGGCAGAUUUGGAUGUCAAAUGUGCCCACCCAAAAGAUUUACGAUCAUUUUUUUUAAAAAAAGCAUUCUUUUUGUUUGCUGCAUUUUUAAAAAGGUAAGCAGAAUAAAAUGAACAUUUAAAAAAAAAAAGAUCUUGAAGUUGAUGCCCAUGCUUGGUAUAAUUUGCUACUCUUCCUCUGUUCAGCAACACUUCACUAAGGAUUCAUGGAGGAAUGGAGUGCACCUGCUGGACAGGGAGGGUCAAAAAAAAUCAAGGCGCCAGUCCACAUCGUGUAACUGAAACCUCACCAAAAAAAAAUAAAUACUCCGGUUUUAGAUCUAUUUGUUGUUUGGUAAUUUCCUCUAGCCAGUUUCUUAUCUUUAUCCAAUAUUUCUUUGCUUCUGGGCAUGUCCACCACAUGUGGUAGUAAAACCGGAGUUAUUUCUAUUAGGUAUAUUAAUAGGAAAUUAUAAUUUUAAAAAUCCAAUACGUAAUGCUACAUAUAAUAACAGCGGCAAGAAUCAUUCAUGCGCAAAAUGGGAAAAAUGAAAGUGUAUCUUUUGAUGGAAUGGUGAUUAAGGGAAGUGCUAGAAAGUGCAGAGAUGGAUAGGUUGACAGUGGGAAUAAAAGACAGAGGAGAAACUGACUACUGUUUGAUUUGGACUUUAUGGUACAACUGGUUAGAGAAUAGAAGUAAAGAUUAAGGAUGUUAAAGUAAGAUGAGACCUGAUAAAAAUGAAUAUAUAUUUAUGUAACUAUAAUUAAGCACAGUGUAUAUACAGAUCAAGAUCAGAGGUGGUAUUCAGCAGGUUCUGACCAGUUCUAGAGAACUGGUAGCGGAAAUUUUGAGUAGUUCAGAGAACUGGUAAAUACCACCUCUGACUGUCCCCGCCCCCAUCUAUUCUCUGCCUUCCGAGUCCCAGCUAAUCUGGAGCAAAUGGAGAUUUUGCAGUAACCUUCCUCUGGAUUGGGGAGGGAAUGGAGAUUUUAUAGUAUCCUUCCCCUGGAGUGGGGAGGGAAUGGGGAUUUUGCAGUAUCCUUCCCCUGGAAUGGAGAGGGAAUGGAGAUUUUACAGUAUCCUUCCCCUGGAAUGGGGAGGGAAUGGAGAUUUUACAGUAUCCUUCCCCUGCCAUACCCACCAUGCCACGCCCACCAAGGCACACCCACAGAACCGUUAGUAAAAAAAAAUUGAAACCCACCACUGAUCAAGAUACA
Long non-coding RNA from Ahaetulla prasina, 2287 nucleotides. RefSeq lists it as uncharacterized. The record is from RefSeq and is a predicted model, not a curated record. The transcript has 3 exons. NCBI's taxonomy places the organism in Eukaryota, Metazoa, Chordata, Lepidosauria, Squamata, Colubridae.